Molecule: ribosomal RNA, 497 nt
Filed under: uncultured bacterium
Lineage: Bacteria
Description: partial 16S ribosomal RNA
Rfam family: Bacterial small subunit ribosomal RNA
Source: RNAcentral
GAUGAACGCUGGCGGCGUGCCUAAUACAUGCAAGUCGAGCGAACAGACGAGGAGCUUGCUCCUCUGACGUUAGCGGCGGACGGGUGAGUAACACGUGGAUAACCUACCUAUAAGACUGGGAUAACUUCGGGAAACCGGAGCUAAUACCGGAUAAUAUAUUGAACCGCAUGGUUCAAUAGUGAAAGACGGUUUUGCUGUCACUUAUAGAUGGAUCCGCGCCGCAUUAGCUAGUUGGUAAGGUAAGGGCUUACCAAGGCAACGAUGCGUAGCCGACCUGAGAGGGUGAUCGGCCACACUGGAACUGAGACACGGUCCAGACGCCUACGGGAGGCAGCAGUAGGGAAUCUUCCGCAAUGGGCGAAAGCCUGACGGAGCAACGCCGCGUGAGUGAUGAAGGUCUUCGGAUCGUAAAACUCUGUUAUUAGGGAAGAACAAAUGUGUAAGUAACUAUGCACGUCUUGACGGUACCUAAUCAGAAAGCCACGGCUAACUACGUG